RNAcentral lists this ribosomal RNA (499 nucleotides) under uncultured bacterium. RNAcentral's name for it is "bacterial SSU rRNA". It matches the Rfam family "Bacterial small subunit ribosomal RNA", at positions 8 to 506 of the family's 1533-position model. The record is from RNAcentral.
AGAGUUUGAUCCUGGCUCAGGAUGAACGCUAGCGGCAGGCUUAACACAUGCAAGUCGAGGGGUAUCACGCUUUCGGGCGUGAGAGACCGGCGCACGGGUGCGUAACGCGUAUGCAACCUACCUGUAACAGAGGGAUAGCCCAUAGAAAUGUGGAUUAACACCUCAUAGUUCUUAUUAGUCGCAUGACUGACAAGAUAAAACUCCGGUGGUUACAGAUGGGCAUGCGUGACAUUAGCUAGUUGGAGGGGUAACGGCCCACCAAGGCUACGAUGGUUAGCUGGUCUGAGAGGAUGAUCAGCCACACUGGUACUGAGACACGGACCAGACUCCUACGGGAGGCAGCAGUGAGGAAUAUGGACAAUGGGCGCAAGCCCGAUCCAGCCAUGCCGCGUGCAGGAAGACGGCCCUAUGGGUUGUAAACUGCUUUUUAUACAGGAAGAAACACUCCCUCGUGAGGGAACUUGACGGUACUGUAUGAAUAAGCACCGGCUAACUCCGU